UCGCUGUUAAAAAUUUAAGACUCCGUCCCCGUUGGGCUUAAAAAAAAGUAAAGCAUCGCAUUAUACUGAUGUACAAGAUCUCGUUCUUGCACAUUUCGCUCUUCCCACAUAUUUUGCAAUCAGAACUGUUUUCGAAGCUCGUGGUGAAAGCAAACAGACGGGUUCUCAGGAGACACCAGGCCAAGGAAUGCGCUCAGCUUGUCCCAAUCUCGCCCCUCGAAGCGUGGGACGGGAAAGGCCGAGCCACAGGAAAUAACUGCGGGCUGCCAAAGGUCGGGCCCAGCAAGCCCGCCUGGCCCCCUGCCCCGCCCUCCCGAACGCCGCCGGAAUCCGGAUACCCGGCCGAACGAGGUCGGCCCCUUCCGGCUCUUUCCGGUGCUGCAGGAUCGCGCCGCAGCCCAGGAUGCUGCGGUUUGCGGGGCUCCUCGCCUCCGCAGGCCUGGCCGCCACGGCUCUCAUCGUAGCCACCCGGCUUCGCUCCGGCCUCCGCCUCCGGCCGGCUCCCAGGCCCAGGCCUCCGCACCCGGCCGCCGCGACCCUGGAGCGCCCCGGAGCGGGAGAAAUAAAUUCCAAUGAGUGUGAACAUGUGUUAAGAAAAGAGGAAGUGCCAGAGAAGUUACAAGUCAGUGCUGUGGAUUCUCUGACAGACAUGCCAUUUGCUACUGUAGAUAUUCAAGAUGAUUGUGGAGUCACUGAUGUACCUCAAAUAAAUUUGAAGAGAAGUAAAGAAAAUGAAGGUAACAAGAGGGAUCAAGUAAAGAAGAGGAAAAAAAGGCAAAAUGAUUAUCAACCCAACUAUUUCCUAUCCAUUCCCAUCACCAACAAAAAGAUUACAGGUAGAAUUAAGAUCCUGCAGAAUGCAAUACUACAGCAAGAUCAGCGGCUGUCCCAAGCAAUGGUCCGUGAUGGUUCCUUUCAUAUUACCCUGCUAGUGAUGCAAUUAUUAAAUGAAGAUGAAGUAAAUAUUGGGAUUGAUUCGCUUUUGGAAUUGAAGCCAUUCAUUGAGGAAAUCCUCAAAGGGAAACAGUUGACUUUGCCCUUCCAAGGGAUUGGCACGUUUGGAAGUCAGGUUGGCUUUGUGAAGCUGGCAGAAGGAGACCACAUCGACCCGCUUUUGGAGAUAGCAGAGAUGGCAAAAAAAACAUUUCAAGAAAAAGGCAUCUUGGCAGGAGACAGCAGAGGAUUUAAGCCUCACUUGACCUUUAUGAAAUUGUCAAAAGCGCCAGCGCUCCGGAAGAUUGGAGUGAAAAAAAUAGAGCCUGAAUUGUAUGAACAGUUUAUCAACCACAGAUUUGGAGAAGAAAUAUUAUACCGCAUAGAUCUUUGCUCCAUGCUGAAGAAAAAACGAAGUGAUGGUUAUUAUCACUGUGAGUCUUCACUUGUGAUUGGUGAGUUGGAAAGCCGGUCCUCUGCAGUCCUACAGAGAUACAGCAAGGAUAGACCCAACAGCCCAAGUGGUGAGAAGGACGGAGGGGAGCCCGAGGAUGCCGAACUGGCAAGGAACCAAUUGGAAUCCAAGAUUCAAUUAAUGAAGCUUUGCACCAAGAAAGGAUGGGGCUGAAGUCCAAAGUGAAACAGAUAAAAGAACUUUUAUUGAAGCCUGAGACUCAGGCCAAAAUUAGGACAGAGCUUUUUGAAGGAAGGCUUUUUAAUAAUGAAGUCCUGAGCAGGAGCUCUGGUGGUUUCAGUGAUUUCUUCAGCUGAUGUUCCUGCCUUUGUGAUAAGAAAGCACAGUCAUCAAAGCAUGUCCACUUUAGAUUGUUUCAUUAUUUCAAAUCAUUCAGCUUCUUGGAGGAGUAACAACAUAACAUUGCCUUCAAAGAAACCCAAGGUGACUUAGAAACAACUAAUUCUGAGUCACUGAAGUGACAUCAGUAGCAAAGAUGAAGAGACCAAGCUCAUCCAGGUACAUAGACCUACGAGUUCCUGGCUGUGAGGCCCCUCCGAAUAUCUGGCUACGAACCCCCUCUGAGCAGCUGUGAACUCUCUGUGAGGGACCGGCCAAGAUCCCCCAGCUGAGGUACUGGCUGUGAACCCUGCUCAGGUGUAGAGGUUGGUACAGAUUUGCUUGAGUAACUCUCAAGGAAAGAAGCAAAGAUGCUUAGGCCUUUCCUUGUUUUCAAAUGAGAGACUGGCACCAGAGGUUGGGUUCCUUAUCCAAGGCCACACUGUUCUUAGGAAUUGGAAGCUGAGUCCAACCCAGUGGCCUCAGGGUUCCAGGGCCACUUUCACCAUCCCGUAAUGUAGGUGCACUGUUUCAGAUCAGCAUUUCUUAGCGUUAAGCUAUAUCUUCCCCUCAAGGAUCUAUUCCAAAUCUAUCAAAGUAGCUUGGAGGACAAGUAUUCUUUUUGCAACCCAGAUUACAUGUCUUUCUGUUACUUUAGUUGAAAACCAGCUUCUACUGUUAAAUACCUAUGAAGAGCUAGGCUCAGUGCCAGGUGAUUUGGGCACAUGGUUAAAUUUCUUCCCUAGGGAGGGAGUGGGCAUAGAUUUGAUCAAAAUACCUUAUAUGCAUGUAUGAAAUUCUCAAUAAAGUUUUUGUAAAAGUUAAAAAUAAAUAAAUUUAUU
RNA transcript from Nannospalax galili (Upper Galilee mountains blind mole rat), 2568 nucleotides. It is a transcript of the gene named A-kinase anchoring protein 7, with no coding region annotated. Lineage: Eukaryota; Metazoa; Chordata; Mammalia; Rodentia; Spalacidae. The record is from RefSeq and is a predicted model, not a curated record. The transcript has 11 exons.